This 74-nucleotide transfer RNA is filed under the name bacterium. RNAcentral describes it as "tRNA-Arg". It matches the Rfam family "tRNA". Rfam says of the family: Transfer RNA (tRNA) molecules are approximately 80 nucleotides in length. Their secondary structure includes four short double-helical elements and three loops (D, anti-codon, and T loops). Further hydrogen bonds mediate the characteristic L-shaped molecular structure. tRNAs have two regions of fundamental functional importance: the anti-codon, which is responsible for specific mRNA codon recognition, and the 3' end, to which the tRNAs corresponding amino acid is attached (by aminoacyl-tRNA synthetases). tRNAs cope with the degeneracy of the genetic code in two manners: having more than one tRNA (with a specific anti-codon) for a particular amino acid; and 'wobble' base-pairing, i.e. permitting non-standard base-pairing at the 3rd anti-codon position. RNAcentral also lists the same sequence under 1 other name. The record is from RNAcentral.
GCGCCCGUAGCUCAACUGGAUAGAGUGACGGACUACGAAUCCGUAGGUUGCGUGUUCAAAUCACGCCGGGCGCG